RNAcentral lists this ribosomal RNA (295 nucleotides) under uncultured bacterium. RNAcentral's name for it is "partial 16S ribosomal RNA". It matches the Rfam family "Bacterial small subunit ribosomal RNA", at positions 775 to 1067 of the family's 1533-position model. The record is from RNAcentral.
GGAUUAGAUACCCUGGUAGUCCACGCCGUAAACGAUGUGUGCUAGCCGUCGGGCCCUUCGGGUUCGGUGGCGCCGCUAACGCAUUAAGCACACCGCCUGGGGAGUACGGCCGCAAGGUUAAAACUCAAAGGAAUUGACGGGGGCCCGCACAAGCGGUGGAGCAUGUGGUUUAAUUCGACGCAACGCGCAGAACCUUACCAGCCCUUGACAUGGGGGUCGCGGAGAUCAGAGAUGGUUUCUUUCAGUUCGGCUGGACCCCGCACAGGUGCUGCAUGGCUGUCGUCAGCUCGUGCCG